This 1297-nucleotide long non-coding RNA is filed under the name Gallus gallus (chicken). Lineage: Eukaryota; Metazoa; Chordata; Aves; Galliformes; Phasianidae. The record is from RNAcentral.
CUUUGGUCUGUGGAAGAGCGGGCAAGCUGCCCAGGAUGACUGCGGGUUGUAAGAGACUGUUCUUUUAUAUCAUUUGACUCAAAGUUUGCCGAGGAGCAAGUCCAGGCAAGUCCUGGGCAAAGGUAGAGAAAUCUUCCGUCUGGAGGACACUGAUGGACGGGUCCUGGCUAAGCGUUGUGAAAUCCUCCAAGGAGCACAGAUGGACACGGCCAGGGGCAGCGAGAGAGAGAUGAGCUGCUGAUAACGGCCGGGAAACGGUCUUUGUGUGUGGGCUUACCUCGAGGAAGAUGGCCAUCUCAGGAGGUACGCACAGGGCUCUUGCUCAAGCACCCAGGGGUGUCAGUAGGCAGCAGAAAAUGGAGGAUAAAAGAGGGGCCAACAACCCCGACAGAUUGGGCGGGGUUUUCUGCCAUCUGAUCCUUCACCACGACGGACUGAGAGGGGUUUUCUGCCAUCAGAUCCCUCACCACGACAGACUGAGAGGGUUUUCUGCCGUCAGAUCCCUCACCACGACGGACUGAGAGGGGUUUUCUGCCAUCAGAUCCCUCACCACGACGGACUGAGAGGGGUUUUCUGCCAUCAGAUCCCUCACCACGACAGACCAGUGAAGGGUUUCUGCCAUCAGAUCCCUCACCACGACAGACUCGAGGCUUUCUGCCUUCAGAUCCUUCUCUCCGGACCGUAUGCUGACGGACUUCCCUGGCCCUGCUACCUGAGACCUGCUGCUUCCUCCCUGACUUACUCUGCGGCUUCUUCCUGCACCCACCCGGUACUGCCCCCUCUGGUUGCCCAAGACCCCCCUCGCUGCUCCUGCCCUUCGGCCUCGGACCGUCAGAACGUCAUGCAAUGGAACUGCUGCCGGAUCCUGGUGGUGCCUAUCCCCGCUUUACUCAAUUCUUGCUUCUUUCUAUCUUUUCCAUCGCUCGCCUUCCCUUCCCCAUCGCCCCGAUCCGGAACAGUGUCCGUCCUCCCCUUUCUCCAUCUCCCUUAUUAACGUUUGUAAUAAACCGGUCGGACCAACAUUUGAACCGUUGUUUCUUAAUCUCACGCCGGGCAUACAUAUCUCAAAGAACCUCCUCUCCCUCCUACAAACUGGAGCAAGACAGGCACCUGAGCUGGGCCUCCUUUGGAGCGGCAGUAGCCCUAAUACCCUCGUGGCCAUACUCAGGUGUUUCCACAGCCACCAACCUCGUACCAACCCUCGUGUUCUUCGUACACGAGGCUGACUCCUCCUCCUCCUCCUUCACCAAGACACCAGGCUGGGAUCUCACCAGCGCAUCCCCCUCCUGCAAGCACC